GUGAAUCAUCAAAUUUUUGAACGCAAAUUGCACUCUCCGGUUUUCCGGGAGCGUAUGCCUGUUUGAGGGUCAGCCUAAAAAAAACGACAUUUGUGCUGGUUUAUUGUUACUUUCGUCGGGGGUGGGUUAUCUUAAAUCUCGGGUUAAGCGGCUUAAAAAUUUUUUUUACGGUUCUAAGAAUUGUUCUUAGAUUUUUCUUUGAAGGUUAAAGGAUCUGAUUGCUUAU
Molecule: unclassified non-coding RNA, 226 nt
Filed under: Glomus sp.
Lineage: Eukaryota; Fungi; Glomeromycota; Glomeromycetes; Glomerales; Glomeraceae
Description: partial contains 5.8S ribosomal RNA and internal transcribed spacer 2
Rfam family: 5.8S ribosomal RNA (bases 1-72)
Source: RNAcentral